RNAcentral lists this ribosomal RNA (377 nucleotides) under uncultured eukaryote. Its description in RNAcentral is "partial 18S ribosomal RNA". It matches the Rfam family "Eukaryotic small subunit ribosomal RNA", at positions 592 to 976 of the family's 1831-position model. The record is from RNAcentral.
CAAUAGCGUAUAUUUAAGUUGCUGCAGUUAACAAGCUCGUAGUUGGAUUUCGGGUGGGAAUGGCCGGUCCGCCGUUUCGGUGUGCACUUGCUACGCCCACCUUGCUGCCGGGGACGUGCUCUUGAGUUCACGCUCGGGACACGGAGUCGGCGAGGUUACUUUGAGUAAAUUAGAGUGUUCAAAGCAGGCCUACGCUCUGAAUACAUUAGCAUGGAAUAACACGAUAGGACUCUGGCCUAUCUUGUUGGUCUGUAGGACCGGAGUAAUGAUUAAGAGGGACAGUCGGGGGCAUUCGUAUUUCAUUGUCAGAGGUGAAAUUCUUGGAUUUAUGAAAGACGAACUACUGCGAAAGCAUUUGCCAAGGAUGUUUUCAUUAA